Molecule: long non-coding RNA, 755 nt
Organism: Hordeum vulgare subsp. vulgare (domesticated barley)
Lineage: Eukaryota; Viridiplantae; Streptophyta; Magnoliopsida; Poales; Poaceae
Exons: 2
Source: RefSeq, a predicted model, not a curated record
CAGAGCGCCUGCUACUACCAGUGACCAUGACAAGCUCUUGAUCCCCGAUGCCAUUGUCCAGUAUACUUAUGGUUCUCCAAAUAGCAGGGCCUUCACCGCUCGGCUGACUUUCAGGAAAUGAUGUAGACCUUCGGUCCUAUCUUUGACAAACCUGCAGCAUUGAUUCUCCGGAGCUGACAACCAUCUGUGCGUCGAAUCGAUCAGCGAUGAGCCGAUGACGGUGUAACGGUACCACACAGGGAUUGAUCCUGCUACUUAGGCUGAAGAUGGUCGGGGGCCCAAGUUCCAUAAGAACGCACGGGUCGAAAUCCGUUGUAACUACGGGUAUUCCUGACUCCUGGGUAGUUUGGACGCCCGACGGACAGAAAGAUGAUGGGUGUGUCGUUCCUUCAGAGCUUCUCCUGGAUCAAAACGCCGGCAGCAGGUGCAUGUAUCUGGAAGAUGGGAGUUGAGAAUUCAGAUGCCAUGCUUCGGUUUUAUUUACCUAUCUAUCUCUGGAUUCCGCCCGCUGAUGCUCUGCAUGUAUCUGGUGUGUUGGGAACAGUGGGGGUAUGGUGUGGACAGGGUCGGUGACGCCCUGAUCCGUUUUAAUAUUCGGUCACACUUGGUGUGCUGCUUGCCUUGCUGUUGCUGAUAUCAUAGAUAUCUCUGCAGUGCAAUCUAGCUUCUUUUGUUGACUCUGCGAGGCUCAGUUCAAACUCCUGCUGCCAAGGUACUGUCGGUGUUUAUAUUUUAAUGUUCUUGAUCUGAUCUGA